GACGAACGCUGGCGGCGUGCUUAACACAUGCAAGUCGAACGGUAAGGCCCUUCGGGGUACACGAGUGGCGAACGGGUGAGUAACACGUGGGUGAUCUGCCCUGCACUUUGGGAUAAGCCUGGGAAACUGGGUCUAAUACCGAAUCGGAAUGCGCACUGCAUGGUGUGUGGUGGAAAGCUUUUGCGGUGUGGGAUGGGCCCGCGGCCUAUCAGCUUGUUGGUGGGGUGAGGGCCUACCAAGGGGACGGCGGGUAGCCGGCCUGAGAGGGUGACCGGCCACACUGGGACUGAGAUACGGCCCAGACUCCUACGGGAGGCAGCAGUGGGGAAUAGUGCACAAUGGGCGCAAGCCUGAUGCAGCGACGCCGCGUGAGGGAUGACGGCCUUCGGGUUGUAAACCUCUUUCAGCACAGACGAAGCGCAAGUGACGGUAUGUGCAGAAGAAGGACCGGCCAACUACGUGCCAGCCGCCGCGGUAA
This 478-nucleotide ribosomal RNA is filed under the name uncultured bacterium. RNAcentral describes it as "partial 16S ribosomal RNA". It matches the Rfam family "Bacterial small subunit ribosomal RNA", at positions 28 to 523 of the family's 1533-position model. The record is from RNAcentral.